RNAcentral lists this ribosomal RNA (174 nucleotides) under uncultured bacterium. Its description in RNAcentral is "partial 16S ribosomal RNA". It matches the Rfam family "Bacterial small subunit ribosomal RNA", at positions 1320 to 1500 of the family's 1533-position model. The record is from RNAcentral.
AUGAAGCUGGAUUCGCUAGUAAUCGCGCAUCAGCCACGGCGCGGUGAAUACGUUCCCGGGCCCUUGUACACACCGCCCGUCAAGCCAUGGAAGCCGGGAGUGCCUGAAGUGCGUGACCGCAAGGAGCGUCCUAAGGCAAUACCGGUGACUGGGGCUAAGUCGUAACAAGGUAAC